GACUGGGUGGCGCAAUUGGUAGCGCUUUCGACUCCAGAUCGAAUGGUUGUGGGUUCGAGUCCUGCCCCAGUCA
Transfer RNA from Trachipleistophora hominis, 73 nucleotides. It matches the Rfam family "tRNA". Rfam says of the family: Transfer RNA (tRNA) molecules are approximately 80 nucleotides in length. Their secondary structure includes four short double-helical elements and three loops (D, anti-codon, and T loops). NCBI's taxonomy places the organism in Eukaryota, Fungi, Microsporidia, Pleistophoridae. The record is from Rfam.